GACGAACGCUGGCGGCGUGCUUAACACAUGCAAGUCGAACGGAAAGGCCCUGCUUUUGUGGGGUGCUCGAGUGGCGAACGGGUGAGUAACACGUGAGUAACCUGCCCUUGACUUUGGGAUAACUUCAGGAAACUGGGGCUAAUACCGGAUAGGAGCUCCUGAUGCAUGGUGGGGGUUGGAAAGUUUCGGCGGUUGGGGAUGGACUCGCGGCUUAUCAGCUUGUUGGUGGGGUAGUGGCUGACCAAGGCUUUGACGGGUAGCCGGCCUGAGAGGGUGACCGGCCACAUUGGUACUGAGAUACGGCCCAGAAUCCUACGGGAGGCAGCAGUGGGGAAUCUUGCACAAUGGGCGGAAGCCUGAUGCAGCAACGCCGCGUGCGGGAUGACGGCCUUCGGGUUGUAAACCGCUUUCGCCGGUGACGAAGCGUGAGUGACGGUAAUGGGUAAAGAAGCACCGGCUAACUACGUG
RNAcentral lists this ribosomal RNA (468 nucleotides) under uncultured bacterium. RNAcentral's name for it is "partial 16S ribosomal RNA". It matches the Rfam family "Bacterial small subunit ribosomal RNA", at positions 28 to 507 of the family's 1533-position model. The record is from RNAcentral.